ACGAACGCUGGCGGCAUGCCUUACACAUGCAAGUCGAACGCGAAAGCACUUUCGGGUGUUAGUAGAGUGGCAAACGGGUGAGUAACGCGUGGGAAUCUACCUUUAGGUGCGGAAUAGCCUCGGGAAACUGGGAUUAAUACCGCAUGAUGUCUUCGGACCAAAGAUUUAUCGCCUAAAGAUGAGCCCGCGUCAGAUUAGCUAGUUGGUGGGGUAAAAGCCUACCAAGGCAACGAUCUGUAGCUGGUCUGAGAGGACGAUCAGCCACAUUGGGACUGAGACACGGCCCAAACUCCUACGGGAGGCAGCAGUGGGGAAUAUUGGACAAUGGGCGCAAGCCUGAUCCAGCAAUGCCGCGUGAAUGAUGAAGGCCUUAGGGUUGUAAAGUUCUUUUAGUGGGGAAGAUAAUGACGGUACCCACAGAAAAAGCACCGGCUAACUUCGU
RNAcentral lists this ribosomal RNA (442 nucleotides) under uncultured bacterium. RNAcentral's name for it is "bacterial SSU rRNA". It matches the Rfam family "Bacterial small subunit ribosomal RNA", at positions 29 to 506 of the family's 1533-position model. The record is from RNAcentral.